UACAGAGGGUGCAAGCGUUGCUCGGAAUCAUUGGGCGUAAAGGGUAGGUAGGUGGUCUCAUUUGUCUGGGGUGAAAGCCUCGAGCUUAACUCGAGAAGUGCCCCGGAAACGGUGAGACUGGAGUCUUGGAGAGGGUCGUGGAAUUCCCGGUGUAGCGGUGAAAUGCGUAGAGAUCGGGAGGAACACCAGAGGCGAAGGCGGCGACCUGGACAGAUCCUGACACUGAGGCACGAAGGCCAGGGGAGCAAACGGG
Molecule: ribosomal RNA, 253 nt
Filed under: uncultured prokaryote
Description: partial 16S ribosomal RNA
Rfam family: Bacterial small subunit ribosomal RNA
Source: RNAcentral